GACGAACGCUGGCGGCGUGCCUAAUACAUGCAAGUAGAACGCUGAAGAGAGGAGCUUGCUCUUCUUGGAUGAGUUGCGAACGGGUGAGUAACGCGUAGGUAACCUGCCUGGUAGCGGGGGAUAACUAUUGGAAACGAUAGCUAAUACCGCAUAAAAUGGAUUAUCGCAUGAUAAUCCAUUGAAAGGUGCAAAUGCAUCACUACCAGAUGGACCUGCGUUGUAUUAGCUAGUUGGUGGGGUAACGGCUCACCAAGGCGACGAUACAUAGCCGACCUGAGAGGGUGAUCGGCCACACUGGGACUGAGACACGGCCCAGACUCCUACGGGAGGCAGCAGUAGGGAAUCUUCGGCAAUGGACGGAAGUCUGACCGAGCAACGCCGCGUGAGUGAAGAAGGUUUUCGGAUCGUAAAGCUCUGUUGUAAGAGAAGAACGAGUGUGAGAGUGGAAAGUUCACACUGUGACGGUAUCUUACCAGAAAGGGACGGCUAACUACGU
RNAcentral lists this ribosomal RNA (496 nucleotides) under uncultured bacterium. RNAcentral describes it as "partial 16S ribosomal RNA". It matches the Rfam family "Bacterial small subunit ribosomal RNA", at positions 28 to 506 of the family's 1533-position model. The record is from RNAcentral.